AUUGAACGCUGGCGGCAGGCCUAACACAUGCAAGUCGAACGAGUGGCGGACGGGUGAGUAAUGUCUGGGAAACUGCCCGAAGGAGGGGGAUAAUUCCUGGAAACGGUAGCUAAUACCGCAUACCAUCGGAUGUUCCCAGAUGGGAUUAGGUAGUAGGUGGGGUAACGGCUAACCUAGGCGACGAUCCCUAGCUGGUCUGAGAGGAUGACCUGCCACACUGGAACUGAGACACGGUCCAGACUCCUACGGGAGGAAGCAGUAGGGAAUAUUGCGCAAUGGGCGCAAGCCUUAUGGAGCCACGCCGCGUGUGUGAUGAAGGCCUUCGGAUUGUAAAAUACUUUCAGCGGGGAAGCGUUACUCGCAGAGAAAGCACCGGCUAACUCCGUGCCAGCAGCCGCGGUAAUAC
Molecule: ribosomal RNA, 406 nt
Filed under: uncultured bacterium
Lineage: Bacteria
Description: partial 16S ribosomal RNA
Rfam family: Bacterial small subunit ribosomal RNA
Source: RNAcentral